GACGAACGCUGGCGGCGUGCUUAAUACAUGCAAGUCGAGCGGAGAAGCUCGGUUCUUGCACCAUUUUGGAGAGCCGCGAACGGGUGAGUAACGCGAGGGGACUCUGCCUUUGAGCGGGGGACAACAUUGGGAAACGAAUGCUAAUACGGCAUAACAACUUUAAACAUAGGGUUUAAGUGUGAAAGAUGCAAUUGCAUCACUCACAGAUGAUCCCGCGUUGUAUUGGCUAGUUGGUGAGGUAAAGGCUCACCUAGGCGAGGAUAGAUAGCCGAACUGAGCGGGGGGUCGGCCGCAUUGGGAGGGAGACACGCCCCAAACGCCUACGGGAGGGAGCAGUAGGGAAUCUGCGGCAAUCGACGGGAGUCUGACCGAGCAGGGCGGCGUGCGUGAAGAACGUUGUCGGAUCGUGAAGCUCGGUUUGUAGGGAAGAACCUUGGUGAGAGUGGAAAGAUCCUCAAGUGACGGUAACUGCUCAGAAAGCGACGGCUAACUACGUG
RNAcentral lists this ribosomal RNA (497 nucleotides) under uncultured bacterium. Its description in RNAcentral is "partial 16S ribosomal RNA". It matches the Rfam family "Bacterial small subunit ribosomal RNA", at positions 28 to 507 of the family's 1533-position model. The record is from RNAcentral.